ACAGGCUGUGAGGAGUCCAGGAAGGGCUGAUAAUUUCUCCUUCACAGUAGAUGAGUCUGUGAGAAACCUGACUGCUUAUGUAACAGGAAGCUCCCUUUCCUUCACUCUCACCAGCCCCUCAGGUUUGUCCCAGAGUAGUGCGGAGGUAAAUGGGUCUCUGGGAACGAUUCGAACCGUGGGGAACUUCCUCACGCUGAGGCUGGACAGCCAAGUGGGAUUAUGGAAAAUCAGUGUGAAAUCAACUGCGCCCUACUCUCUGAAGGUCGUAGGUCAGAGCGCCAUCGACUUCCUGUUUGACUUUGUGGAGGUGUCCCAGGGUCCUCAUCCAGGCUUCGCUGUUUUACAGUCCCGUCCUCAAGCUGGUGGCAACGCCACCCUGCUGGUGUCGGUGACGGGGAGUGACUCUGUGAGGCUGAGGGAGGUGGCCCUGGUCGAGGCUGAGGGGUCAGGGGAGGUCAAUGGA
This is an RNA transcript of Coregonus clupeaformis (lake whitefish), 463 nucleotides long. RefSeq lists it as uncharacterized. The record is from RefSeq and is a predicted model, not a curated record. NCBI's taxonomy places the organism in Eukaryota, Metazoa, Chordata, Actinopteri, Salmoniformes, Salmonidae. The transcript is spliced from 4 exons.